UCCUCCACCGACGAGGCCGAGGUUGCUGAGCUCCUCGCCGAGCUGCCAACCCACCGCCCGCCUCCGCUGUACCGCCGCUAGGCCGAGGUCUCGCUCCCAGCCCACAUCCUAACUCCUAGGAGCAAGCGAGUCUCGCCCUGAUCUGAUGUUAACAGGACAUAAGGAAAAUGCGGAAUUUGCGCUUGCCAUGUGUCCAGCAGAACCAUAUGUCCUAUCAGGAGGAAAGGACAAAUCUAUUGUCUUGUGGAGCAUCCAAGACCAUAUAUCUAGAUGUUCAUUGUUAAAACACGUCUAUUUGUUUAAUGAUGUUAUUGUUAAUUAAACUAGGAUCAUUGGCCUUCUCUGUGAAUGUCUAUGUUGACACAUGCCUUAUUUUUAUUUUUAUUUAUAUUAAUACCCUAUAUUGUUUUUUUUAUUUAGGGAUGAAGUGCGCAUGAGUUUUGUAGUGUGGGUGAUGAUGCUUGUCUUAUUCUGUGGGAUGCUUGAACUGGCACUGCCCCAGCUGUUAAGGUUGAGAAAGCUCACAGUGGAGAUGUUCAUUGUGUUGAUUGGAAUCCCCUUGAUGUUAACUAUAUCUUAACUGGGUAUGAUGGCAUUAAGGUUCAAUUCAGCAUAAUCAUUGAAACAAAUUCGAUCUCUGUCAGUUCCUUAUACGUUCAAGUAAUGAAUCUUUCAAUUGAUUAAAAUAACAAAAUUUAUGUAUGGCUACGAUCACAAAUGGACUACAAAACUUUUUCUCGUAACGCUAUAACACACAUUUAUACAUAAGUUAUCGUGUUAUUACAUGUUUCCGUUGCAACGCACGGGCAUUCACCUAGUAGAAUAUAUAAUUUCAACAAUGUGGCAAAUAAGUAGGGGUGUAAUCCUGUUAACGACACACCAAUAUCGGAACCCAGGUAUUGUGUUAAAAGGGCAAGGGCUAGGUUGGCACCCCUCGGUGAUAUGUUGUGUC
Molecule: long non-coding RNA, 952 nt
Organism: Zea mays
Lineage: Eukaryota; Viridiplantae; Streptophyta; Magnoliopsida; Poales; Poaceae
Exons: 4
Source: RefSeq, a predicted model, not a curated record